ACUAUUUUGACAGAAAAGUGUUAUGGAUUUAGAAACCAUUAAUGUAAGAAUUUAUGCUUACAAAUAGUA
Molecule: transfer RNA, 69 nt
Filed under: Mecistogaster amalia
Lineage: Eukaryota; Metazoa; Arthropoda; Insecta; Odonata; Coenagrionidae
Description: tRNA-Leu
Source: RNAcentral